RNAcentral lists this ribosomal RNA (593 nucleotides) under Alcaligenes faecalis. Its description in RNAcentral is "bacterial SSU rRNA". It matches the Rfam family "Bacterial small subunit ribosomal RNA", at positions 173 to 762 of the family's 1533-position model. Lineage: Bacteria; Pseudomonadati; Pseudomonadota; Betaproteobacteria; Burkholderiales; Alcaligenaceae. The record is from RNAcentral.
UAACGUCGCAAGACCAAAGAGGGGGACCUUCGGGCCUCUUGCCAUCGGAUGUGCCCAGAUGGGAUUAGCUAGUAGGUGGGGUAACGGCUCACCUAGGCGACGAUCCCUAGCUGGUCUGAGAGGAUGACCAGCCACACUGGAACUGAGACACGGUCCAGACUCCUACGGGAGGCAGCAGUGGGGAAUAUUGCACAAUGGGCGCAAGCCUGAUGCAGCCAUGCCGCGUGUAUGAAGAAGGCCUUCGGGUUGUAAAGUACUUUCAGCGGGGAGGAAGGGAGUAAAGUUAAUACCUUUGCUCAUUGACGUUACCCGCAGAAGAAGCACCGGCUAACUCCGUGCCAGCAGCCGCGGUAAUACGGAGGGUGCAAGCGUUAAUCGGAAUUACUGGGCGUAAAGCGCACGCAGGCGGUUUGUUAAGUCAGAUGUGAAAUCCCCGGGCUCAACCUGGGAACUGCAUCUGAUACUGGCAAGCUUGAGUCUCGUAGAGGGGGGUAGAAUUCCAGGUGUAGCGGUGAAAUGCGUAGAGAUCUGGAGGAAUACCGGUGGCGAAGGCGGCCCCCUGGACGAAGACUGACGCUCAGGUGCGAAAGCGU